RNAcentral lists this ribosomal RNA (1376 nucleotides) under Allodontermes schultzei. RNAcentral describes it as "16S ribosomal RNA". The stretch from base 894 to 1260 matches the Rfam family "Bacterial large subunit ribosomal RNA", at positions 2073 to 2647 of the family's 2925-position model. The record is from RNAcentral. Lineage: Eukaryota; Metazoa; Arthropoda; Insecta; Blattodea; Termitidae.
GCGAUUCGGCAUGGUCUGAUUUAAUUGUUUUCUUGCUUUGUUUUAUGUUGCCUUUAAGUGGAUUGUUUUUGAAGUAUCAUUUUUGUUGUUGUAAGUUUUUGAUUUAAUUUUUUUGCGAUAGUUUAUUUGUACUGUGGGGGGUUGUUAUUUAAUUUUUUAGAAGUUGAUUUUGUUUGUUGUACCUUGUGUAUCAGGGUUUAUUGAAUUUUAUUAUUUAUUUUUAUUUCCCGAUUUUGGAGGAGUUAGCAGUUUAUGUUAGUUGCUGUUUCAUCAGCAUUGGUAAUAGGCUGUUGGUAGUGAAAUGUUAGUCGUCUUUGAUGGUUUCUGGUUUUCUAAGAAAUGAAUUUAAUUCAUGCGCCUUGUUUAGAUUUUAUUGUUGGUUUAUUCUUUUUUAUUUGGUGUUAAGAUUAAGGGGGAUUAGCUCUUUAUUUUAUUUUUAUAACCUUUUUUGUGUUUUAGUUUUGUGGAUUUUAUGGUGAUUUUCAAUUUGAUUAUGUUAGAAUUUUAUUUGCUCUUAUUUUUUAUUUAUAUUUGGUUUAAGUUUGUUUAUUAGAAUGAUUUUUUAUCUUUUUAUGUGUAGUAAUUAUUGUGGAAUUAGUAAAUUUUUUGUUUUAUGUUGUUUUUUAGGUGUUAAUUCCUUUUAAGGAAUUAGGCAAAGAUUUAGUGUCCGCCUGUUUAACAAAAACAUCUCUUCUUGUUAGUUUUUGAAGUAUGGCCUGCCCACUGACGUAUAUAUUGAGUUGAAGGGCCGCGGUAUUUUGACCGUGCAAAGGUAGCAUAAUCAUUAGUUCUUUAAUUGUGAUCUGGUAUGAAUGGCUUGACGAGACAUGUGCUGUCUUGAUUGUGGAAAUUGUUGUUGAAUUUGGUUUUUGAGUUAGAAUUCUUAGAUGUUUUUAUGGGACGAGAAGACCCUAUAGAGUUUAACAUUGGUUUUAUGGCUUGUUUUGUUUGUUUUGGUUGCUUGUAUUUCUAUUUGUUUUGUUGGGGUGAUGGGAGGAAUUUUUUUAACUCCUCUUUGAUUUGGUAUAUUUAUUUGUAUUUAUUUUGAUCCAUUUAUUUUGAUUAUAAGAUUAAAUUACCUUAGGGAUAACAGCGUUAUCCUCCCUGAGAGUUCUUAUUGGCGGGGGGGUUUGCGACCUCGAUGUUGGAUUAAGGUUAAUUUUUGGUGUAGGAGCUGAAUUGAUUGGGUCUGUUCGACCCUUAAAAUCUUACAUGAUCUGAGUUCAAACCGGCGUGAGCCAGGUUGGUUUCUAUCUAUAAUGAGUCUUAUGCCUUAGUACGAGAGGACCGGGUAUUUGGAAUAAUUUUUUUUGUAUUGUAUAUUAUUAAUGGUUGCUAUUUUGGCAGAUAAGUGCACUGGAUUUAGAAUCUAUUAA